AUAAUGGGUCAGCGACUUAUAUUCUGUAGCAAGGUUAACCGAAUAGGGGAGCCGAAGGGAAACCGAGUCUUAACUGGGCGUUAAGUUGCAGGGUAUAGACCCGAAACCCGGUGAUCUAGCCAUGGGCAGGUUGAAGGUUGGGUAACACUAACUGGAGGACCGAACCGACUAAUGUUGAAAAAUUAGCGGAUGACUUGUGGCUGGGGGUGAAAGGCCAAUCAAACCGGGAGAUAGCUGGUUCUCCCCGAAAGCUAUUUAGGUAGCGCCUCGUGAAUUCAUCUCCGGGGGUAGAGCACUGUUUCGGCAAGGGGGUCAUCCCGACUUACCAACCCGAUGCAAACUGC
Molecule: ribosomal RNA, 344 nt
Filed under: Escherichia coli
Lineage: Bacteria; Pseudomonadati; Pseudomonadota; Gammaproteobacteria; Enterobacterales; Enterobacteriaceae
Description: partial 23S ribosomal RNA
Rfam family: Bacterial large subunit ribosomal RNA
Source: RNAcentral